GCCAAAACACAUAAGGUCUCCAUACCCCGUCCGGUAUGAGAGACCACGUUCCCGGUAGGGUUCCCUACGGACCCGAUCCGUCCACCAUCUCCCAGGAUAUCUAGUCAGGCUGUUCACAUUUUCCACUUAUCAAUUCACAUAACCUUUUUACCUUUUUCCUUAAUCUCAAUCAUCUAAUCAUACACAACAUGUAAACCAGUAAUUGACACCAAACAAGACAACACAGUAUCGGGUUCACCAUAAUACAAACCAUAAUAAAAGAAACCAUGAUUUAUGCAUACGAGACCAUAACAUAAUUACAUCAAACAUCAUACUGCAUUUUGUAUUGAAAAUUAGAUCAAACAACAACUAACCAACAAUGU
Molecule: long non-coding RNA, 362 nt
Filed under: Carica papaya (papaya)
Lineage: Eukaryota; Viridiplantae; Streptophyta; Magnoliopsida; Brassicales; Caricaceae
Description: long non-coding RNA (CPAP_LNC000044)
Source: RNAcentral